RNAcentral lists this ribosomal RNA (400 nucleotides) under uncultured bacterium. RNAcentral describes it as "bacterial SSU rRNA". It matches the Rfam family "Bacterial small subunit ribosomal RNA", at positions 28 to 429 of the family's 1533-position model. The record is from RNAcentral.
GACGAACGCUGGCGGCGUGCUUAACACAUGCAAGUCGAACGGUAAGGCCCUUCGGGGUACGACGAGUGGCGAACGGGUGGAGUAACACGUGGGUGGAUCUGCCCUGCACUUCGGGAUAAGCCUGGGAAACUGGGUCUAAUACCGGAUAGGACCAUGGACUUCACGGUUUGUGGUGGAAAGCUUUUGCGGUGUGGGAUGGGCCCGCGGCCUAUCAGCUUGUUGGUGGGGUAAUGGCCUACCAAGGCGACGACGGGUAGCCGGCCUGAGAGGGUGUCCGGCCACACUGGGACUGAGAUACGGCCCAGACUCCUACGGGAGGCAGCAGUGGGGGAAUAUUGCACAAUGGGGCGCAAGCCUGAUGCAGCGACGCCGCGUGAGGGAUGACGGCCUCGGUUGUUAA